UAGAUCAUUCUUUCUUCAUGGUCAAGAGUCAACAAUUGUAGGCUUUCUUUCACGUUCAAAUUAGCAAGUUCACCUUCCUUCGUGCUCUCUUGAAGACUCCAGCAGCCAUUAUAAUAAUAUUUUAAUAUGUGCCCAUUCUCUUGAUCAGCGUGUGGGAGCUUCUUCACGUGUUUCUCAUGCACGUAGAUUUCCCCAGCUUGUUCUAGGUUUUUCUUUGAUGCUUCUUCACAGAGUCUUCAAGUUCAAGGAUUUAUUGAAAAUGGAUCACUAAUUUCCAACACUCCCCCUGAUUCAUUUUAGGAUAAUCCAGACUUGUGUUGUAAAGUCUCGGACAUACCUGAAAUUUUUUCUUGUAAUUUGUCCCAUGCCUUUUAUGUCGUCUUUGUUCCAUGAUCCCUUGUAUUCUCCCGUCAAAACACUUGCACUUGCCUCAAAUGUGCAUGUUUUUUCUUCAACGAUGUCCCAUACGUCUCGGAACAUCAAAAUGCAUUUAGUUGUAGUUGUUAGCUCGGGCUCUGGCUCUCUUGGCUCUCGCUCGGGCUCUGGCCUUCUUAGUUGAGGAUGGUGAGGACAAACGCCCAUAACCAUCCGAUGUGCCUAUCUCUGGCUUCACGAUCCUUUACACCUGGCUCAGUUACGAACCUGGGUGCAACUGGCUCUGAUACCAUGUUAAAAAAUUUUGGAUGUGUGUGCUGCGGAAGCAUGAUUUUGGUAUUAGUUAUAGUUUUUGGUUAGCGACGUGUGCAAGUGUAUGGUAUAGUUUGUAUUUGAUAGAGGAUGGACAAGGGACAAUAUGUGAUAGUUGGAGGAUAUAAGACACAGGAUAUGGGGGAAAAUAGUUUCAUUAGUUGGAUAAAAUAGUUUGAUAGAUCUAUGACUUCUCAUGGUGGAGGAUUUUCCCACACAAGGUGGACCUCUCACACGAUGGAGGUAUUUCCCUCUCCAUACAAUUACAUGAUCAACAUUCAAGCCUAUUUAUAGGCGUGAAUCACCGCCAUCCUUCACCGACAUUAGUACAAAAAAUAAUAUAAAAUUACAGCUUGCUUCUUGUCUUCUUUUGUUGCGACUUCUUCCGCAUCUUCUGGUGGCUUCUCCAUUUAUCUUCAUUUUUUUAUUCUUUCGGCUGCCCACGUACUCUAGAUCAUUCUUUCUUCAUGGUCAAGAGUCAACAAUUGUAGGAUUUCUUUCACGUUCAAAUUAGCAAGUUCACCUUCCUUCGUGCUCUCUUGAAGACUCCAGCAGCCAUUAUAAUAAUAUUUUAAUAUGUGCCCAUUCUCUUGAUCAGCGUGUGGGAGCUUCUUCACGUGUUUCUCAUGCACGUAGAUUUCCCCAGCUUGUUCUAGGUUUUUCUUUGAUGCUUCUUCACAGAGUCUUCAAGUUCAAGGAUUUAUUGAAAAUGGAUCACUAAUUUCCAACAAAG
This 1420-nucleotide long non-coding RNA is filed under the name Eucalyptus grandis. RNAcentral's name for it is "long non-coding RNA (EGRA_LNC002398)". The record is from RNAcentral. Lineage: Eukaryota; Viridiplantae; Streptophyta; Magnoliopsida; Myrtales; Myrtaceae.